RNAcentral lists this long non-coding RNA (291 nucleotides) under Prunus persica (peach). RNAcentral describes it as "long non-coding RNA (PPER_LNC002578)". The record is from RNAcentral. Lineage: Eukaryota; Viridiplantae; Streptophyta; Magnoliopsida; Rosales; Rosaceae.
UUUUGGGAGAAGGAUUUGUUUGAGAACGCCUAAAAGGGGUGAUGGGCAACUUCAAUAUGAGCAUGGCUCAGAAGAAAUCACCAUAAGGGGCUUGUUAUUCAAUGUCCCAGUGGACUUAUUCACUAACCAAAAAGAAAAAACUAAUGUAGGGACAAUGACGCUUCUUCCUCAUCCUCAUAUGUGGAGUUUUUCUUUGGGACUCACUAAAUGAGAGAGCGGCUAGGAUUUUUUACUAUUCUAAUAAUAGAUCAUUGAUCAUUAUUUUUAAAUACAAUUUAUAGUAAAUUAUGC